RNAcentral lists this ribosomal RNA (500 nucleotides) under uncultured bacterium. RNAcentral's name for it is "partial 16S ribosomal RNA". It matches the Rfam family "Bacterial small subunit ribosomal RNA", at positions 30 to 523 of the family's 1533-position model. The record is from RNAcentral.
AUUGAACGCUGGCGGCAGGCCUAACACAUGCAAGUCGAGCGGCAGCGGGACCUUCGGGUUGCCGGCGAGCGGCGGACGGGUGAGUAAUGCCUAGGAAUCUGCCGGUUAGUGUGGGAUAACGCGGGGAAACUCGCGCUAAUACCGCAUACGUUCUACGGGAGAAAGCGGGGGCUCUUCGGACAUCGCGCUAACAGAGGAGCCUCGGUCGGAUUAGCAAGUUGGCGGGGUAAUGGCCCACCAAGGCGACGAUCCGUAACUGGUCUGAGAGGAUGAUCAGUCACACUGGAACUGAGACACGGGCCAGACUCCUACGGGAGGCAGCAGUGGGGAAUAUUGGACAAUGGGCGAAAGCCUGAUCCAGCCAUGCCGCGUGUGUGAAGAAGGUCUUCGGAUUGUAAAGCACUUUAAGUCGGGAGGAAGGGCUGUAGGCUAAUACCUUGCAGUUUUGACGUUACCGACAGAAUAAGCACCGGCUAACUUCGUGCCAGCCGCCGCCGUAA